AUCUCUAAGACCGGAGUGGGCAGGGACCCGGGCCUCUGAGGGGCUCAGGCUCCAGGCCGGAAACUGCACGCGGUGCUGGCGUCAGGCCCGAGGCCCAGCUACGCCUCCCACGGCCUCCCUAAUCGCCAUUCGGGGCUUGCGGGAGCACCUGGGAGGCUCCACCCGGAGCCAGACACUGCCUGCCCCCACGCCCCUCCAGGACCCUCGAAGGAGAAGGAAAUCGGGACUGGCCCAGCGUCCCGUGCUCUAGAAGGCGGGCUACUGCCCCGUCCCAAGCAGGGGAGGAGGACGAGCGAGGGCGUCACUCAUUCUGUCCCCCGCGGAAGGUGGGCUAGCCGCGGAGGGGGGCGCGCAGGGGAGGGGGGCGCGCCGAGGGGAGGGGAGGGGAGGGGUCCACCCCGCCCUUAGGGCCUCCAGCCAUCGCCCGAGAUCAGAGCUCAGGAAUGCGCAGCCAGACCCUGGAGGGUGAGGAAACACCCCUCCGGGAUUCCUCGCAGCGCACCCGACUCUCCGGGCCACACCCAGCCCCUCAGUGUCCUCCCUCGUCCACUCCAGACGCCACACCCAUCGCUCACGCUGAGAAUCGGGCCCCGGAACCCCAGCUUCGGCUCUCGGCACCCAGAGGUGCGGGACGCAGCCCUGUCUUCUCCUCCUUUCCCAGCUCCUUCUGCACUUCGGAAGCACGGGGCUGGAUCUUAACACCCCCCUCCCUCGGCCUUUCAGGAGCCCAAAGUUCCGAUUCUGUCUGUCCCCUGGAUGGGGAGGGGUCAGUAAUUCUGAAUUCCUUCCAUUCUCAUUCCCAAACCCAGGACACCUAACCCUAAGCGCUUCCCCUCCUAAAGGACCUCCACGUACCAGAUUCCAGCCUCCAACUAGGGCACCUACGAGUCCCCAUCUCUCUACUCCCGCAGACCCAGCCCCUCCUCCCUCAGACUCAGGAGUCCAGGCCCAGCUCCUCCUCCCUCAGACCCAGGAGUCCAGGCCCUCAGCCCCUCCUCCCUCGGACCCAGGAGUCCAGACCCCCCAGCCCCUCCUGCCUCGGACCCGGGAGUCCAGACCCCCAGCCCCUCCUCCCUCAGACCCCGGAGUCCAGGUCCCCUUCCCCACUCUUCCAGACGUAUGACCUCCACAGUCCAGGUCCUCAGCCCUCUCCUCUGCAGAACCCCAAGAAUCCUGGCCCAGCCCCAGUCUUUCUAGGGACCCAGACAUUCUGAGACCCAGCCCAUUCCUCUCUCUGGCCAUAAAGACCCUAGACUGUUGCUUAUGCCCUCUGGGGUCCCCACAACCUCACCUCAGGCAGCCAGUGGCGACUGCGGCUGAAGCAAAGACGACAGCGGCAGCUGGAAGGGUCUGAGGGCUGGGUGGGGUUGGAGGGCUGGGGAGCCAGCGCGGGCGGGACGGGGGCGGGGCCGGGGCGGGGCGCAGCUCCGGCUAGGGCGGUGGACAGGGACUUCCCCGAGUCUGGGCUAUCCCAGCCCCGCCCCGAGGCGGGGCCAAGAGCAGACCACGCCCCCCAGAGUAAAAGUAGCGUGGAGCUCCCGCCCCACCCCAGUGAGCAGGGUGGAGGGCUGAGGUCACGGUUGCCGUGGUGACAAAACAGGAAGACACAACAGCUGGCGGCGUGGAGACUCCUGGGGGCUGCCCUCCUCGACACAGCCCUAGAGGAGUCUCCCGGGUAGGCCAGGGAAGACCGUUACCAUAGAAACCCCGCAUGUUUAGGGUUUGUUUAGUGCAGAGCCCCCCAGCUCAGGUCCCCGCCCCCGUCUCACCUCACUCCUUUCUUCCGCUCCCUUCCUACCCCCUCCUUCCUGGUCUGUUCCGCCCCCACCCCUUCCUUGCCGGAUGAAACCUUAGACACCUGGGUCGCAGCGGAUUGGGGGACCAGGCCCCUCAGUUCAAUGGGGGGGCUAGGAUCUCUGUCUCUUGGAGCCCUGAGGGAGAGCAGAAUUGAGAGCAGUAUUCCUGGGCUUUAGGUGGUUCUGGGCUACGAUCCCUGACUGAUGGGUCUCCCCAAGAAACAGAGGCUAGAUUCCUGUAUUUAAGGACUUGAAGGGGCGGCAAAAUGCUCCCCUAGUACCCACUGGCACCGGGCGCCGCAGGGUAAGGGACUCGGGCUGGACGCAGGUCUCAGAUAUCACAGUGGAUAGGGGUGGGGUGUGUUGGGGGCAAAAUUCCUGGGAGCUAGCGCGGUAGCAGUUGGGGGCCCGGAUUCCUGGGCUCCACAGGAUGCCUAGGCUGAGGCCCAGAUUCUUGGCUCAAAAGAACAAUCAGGCCUGGGCGCGGUGGCUCACGCCUGUAAUCCCAGCAUUUCGGGAGGCUGAGGAGGGAGGAUCCCUUGAGCCCAGGAGUUCGAGACCAGCCUGGGCAACAUAAGGAGACUCUGCUCUAUUAAAAAUAAAUCAUCAUGAUCAUCAUAAUAGAACCAUUAAAGCUCAGACUCGGGUUUUCCGAGCAGGUGUUGCAAGCCUAGCCGCCUGGGUCUGGAAGGCAGCGAUAUUUUUGGCCUACAUUCCUGACUCCUGGAUGGAGGGAGGGACUCAGAAUUUUAAUGAGGAUGGGGCUGGGGCUGGGGCUUGGGGCUCUGGAUUCACGGAUCCUGCAAGAGGGGAAGGGAUCCAAGGGGCUGGUGGGCCCGAAGCCCCAGGGCAGGGAAGGGAUGCAGGGUGUGUUUUUAAAAGGCGGCUCUGCGGCCCUAAAACGGACUGCCGGAGCCAAAAGAAAAAGAGGGAGCUGAGGGUCG
RNAcentral lists this long non-coding RNA (2740 nucleotides) under Homo sapiens (human). RNAcentral describes it as "non-protein coding lnc-NLRP12-1:13". Lineage: Eukaryota; Metazoa; Chordata; Mammalia; Primates; Hominidae. The record is from RNAcentral.